UUGACCUCAAAUCGAGUAGGACUACCCGCUGAACUUAAGCAUAUCAAUAAGCGGAGGAAAAGAAACUAACAAGGAUUCCCCUAGUAACGGCGAGUGAAGAGGGAAGAGCUCAAAUUUUGAAUCUGGCGUCUUUGGCGUCCGAAUUGUAAUCUAGAGAAGUGUUUUCCGUGACGGACCGUGCAUAAGUCUCCUGGAAUGGAGUGUCAUAGAGGGUGAGAAUCCCGUAUAUGGCACGGACUCCCGUUGCUCUGUGAUACACUCUCGACGAGUCGAGUUGUUUGGGAAUGCAGCUCCAAAUGGGUGGUAAAUGCCAUCUAAAGCUAAAUAUUGGCGAGAGACCGAUAGCGAACAAGUACCGUGAGGGAAAGAUGAAAAGCACUUUGGAAAGAGAGUGAAACAGUACGU
RNAcentral lists this ribosomal RNA (405 nucleotides) under uncultured Sebacinaceae. RNAcentral describes it as "eukaryotic LSU rRNA". It matches the Rfam family "Eukaryotic large subunit ribosomal RNA", at positions 1 to 400 of the family's 3401-position model. The record is from RNAcentral. Lineage: Eukaryota; Fungi; Basidiomycota; Agaricomycetes; Sebacinales; Sebacinaceae.